RNAcentral lists this ribosomal RNA (253 nucleotides) under uncultured bacterium. RNAcentral describes it as "partial 16S ribosomal RNA". It matches the Rfam family "Bacterial small subunit ribosomal RNA", at positions 524 to 776 of the family's 1533-position model. The record is from RNAcentral.
UACAGGGGGGGCAAGCGUUGUUCGGAAUUACUGGGCGUAAAGGGCCAGUAGGCGGCCAACUAAGUCACACGUGAAAUCCCCAGGCUUAACCUGGGAACUGCGUGUGAUACUGGAUGGCUUGAAUUCGGGAGAGGGAUGCAGAAUUCCAGGUGUAGCGGUGAAAUGCGUAGAUAUCUGGAGGAAUACCGGUGGCGAAGGCGGCAUCCUGGACCGACACUGACGCUGAGGCGAGAAAGCUAGGGUAGCAAACGGG